GGGGCAUAGAGGAGCAACAAUAAAUGUACAUUAUGUGGAAAAUAAUGUUUUUAUAACGCAUAAACACAUUUCAUUACACCAAAUACACAAAACAAUGUCCUUCUUUAGCAACGCUGUAUGACCCCUUUAAUUAGUAAGGACUGUUAACUGGUAAAGACUAUUUAGAACCAAGUUAUACAUUGUCUAUAAAAACAUUAUACAUUAUCUAGAAACAUAACACAAGAGAUGGUGAACUUAAAUACAAAGUGAGAGGAACAUUCACUUUAUUUUUUUAAUCAAUAAAUAGCCUUAAAAUAAAUCUGAACAAGAUUACUUUUCUACAUGGUGAAUGCUCAUUAAAGGCUCAUUAUUAUGAUUUAUAUGGUUUAUUAAUAAAAGUGUGACUAAUGCUUAAAAUGAACAACUUCUAGUCGAGGCCAGCCCUAAUGCACAUCCAUUAAUUGUUUACGAGAAGCAUACAUAUAAGAGGCUGAAAAUUAGCUGAAUAUAUAGCCUACUUGUUUAAUUCGUGACACUUAGCCUGCAUUUUAAAAUCUUUAUUUAAAUAUGGCAACACAAUAUUGCGCUCUACAAUAUUUCUAUGAAUAAAUCUCUGACAGAGACUAUGAGCCAAUCACUGUGUGCAUAGUUUGUAAGUAUCCUGACAUCAUCCAUAGCAACGAGGUCAACCCCACCCUUACUCUUAGCUUAAGACUUCGGUCUGUUCUUUAGUAAAAGUUUGUCUCAGCAGCUUUGUGAAUAGAAAAAAAUAAAAAAUAAAAACCUCUUAGCUAAAAACUUUUACUGCUAUUUAGGAGAACUCUUAGUGGUAAGAUAAAAUGUUUUGUGAAUACGGGCCCAGGUUUGUAAAAAUCAGAUUGUAUGUACUAGACUCAUCUAGUUGUCUUUUGUUGAGGGAACAUCUCAGUUGCUUCCGCUGAAAAUCUUGUUCCUCUUUCAGGAGUCCAUUUUCUUCUUUCAGUUUUUCUAUUGUCACAACUGCCGUUGGUGCAACUUGUGGUGGACCAGAGACAGGAGGUGGCACUGAGACCGUAACACCUACUGUAGAUUUACAGUAAUGACAAAACAUUUAUCUGGUCAUUCUAGAGAUCUCAGAGUUGAUAUUGUUGCCACCACCAUGUCAUGAAGGCGCUGUGAAUCGCCGGAUCGGCUUUCACCGUGGACGAAGUGGAGUACAGCCCGGGGUCGUCACAUGUGGUUGCCGCAAGCACACCAUUCUCAAGCCCACCGGCCUCCGCUCACUCAAGCCCGCUUUGUGUGACUUUUUUUUUUUGUUGUGAAAGUGAAACUACUUUGUUUGGCCUUUCAAAAGAGGACACAACUAGAAAUCAGUGGUUAAGUUGUAUUUACAACACUGUUCCAGAACAGUUCAAACCAAAUAUACAGAUGUGUGCAGCACAUUUUAUGGAGGACUGUUUCUUGAUCCUGGGAGUGUAGCCUACAAUGCUGGCUGUUCUGACUCACAGUCUGUAAGUAUGUUUUUAUAUUUAAAGAAUUUGCUAACAAAGAGAGACAUAUAAAAUAUGCAGAGCUGGGAGGCGCGAGGACUGGAAUUGAGAACCGCUGUCCUAACACAACAACCAGUGGAAACCAGUGGAAGAUUAAGACAGCACUACCCAAGUGGAAAUUAAGUACAGUAAGAUUACAUUAAGCUCAUAAUCUCACAUAGGAUGACAAGAAACCACUUAACCUGCCAUUUCUGCAAAAAAACAACAAUUCGGAACACUAAUUUCCAAAACUUAACUAUGUAGGCUGCUGGUCAGCAAAUAUGUGCAGUACGUAAACACAACGCACUCAUUUAUUCUAAUAUCAGACUCCGUUAAGCAUUGUUGCUUUACUUUCCUAUUGGAGGGACACUGUGCAUACUGCAUUAGGUUAACUGACACUCGUCACAGCAUUUACAUAUCAUUGCUCUUUUGUUGAUUUUUAUUGCUUCUGUUGUCCUCAUUUGUAAGUCGCUUUGGAUAAAAGCUUCUGCUAAAUACCUAAAUAUAAAUUCAAGUAAUUGGAUGUUUAUUUUUGGGAAUGCAUGAAUAAAUGCAUAGUACUCAAUGGUGAAAUACCAACAUCUCAAAAAACUGAUUCUAGACUUACAACUAAAUAACAUAUAAGCAGAGGCGGACAGUAAUGAAGCAUAUUUACUUGAGUAUUGUACUUAAGUACACUUUUUGAAUAUCUGUACUUUAUUUGUGUAUUAUUCCUCGGCAGGGACAGGAGGCUUUUCUGUGUGGAGUUUUUCAUAUUUUUCCUGUGCCAGCAUGGGUUUAUGCCGGGUACUCCUGUUUCCUCUCCCACAUCCCAAAGACAUGCAGGUCAGGUGAAUUGAAGAGUCUUAUUCGUCCCUCCCAACUUCUGUGUAAGACCAACUUGUGUAUGAAUCAACUGGUUCUCGCCAUGAGCAUAGCCAUAGAUGCUGGAAUGGCGUUAAGAAGAAAAUAAAAAACAAACAAACUUGAGUAUUCAUUUUUUCUGGAAACGUAUGACUUUAUUUUCACUACAUUUGAAAGACAACUAUCAUGCUUUUCACUCCACUACAUUUCUAUCAAGGUACUUGAAGUAGAAAGUUAUUACUAUGUAGCAGUUUUGAAAGUCAGUGGGUUAUUAUUUCUGGGUUCUAAGACUUUUUUUUGGACCGCUAAUCAGUAAUAACUCUUCUAGGGUUACGUGAAGUAAUUUCCCAGCAUUUUUUGAACCCUGACCAGUUGCAAAUGUGAUAUUUACUGUAAGUCAAUAAGAAUAAGUUAAUAUUGUGCUAUAUAUAAGACACAAUAUUGUGUGAUUUAGCUAAAUUGUGUAAACGAAAAUAUUACCUAUAAAGCCACAACUGUUGCAUCAGGGCCAUGCAGAGACUUUUGGUGGGGCAGGUGCUCAAAUGACAUGGCUUUAAAAAGGGCUGUGCUCCUUGCUGAUAUGUGUAUCGAAACGGAUGCUUCUAUUGAUACAGCAGCAAAUGCCGUGACACAGUUUUGAAAAAGAAACACAGAACAGAAAUACCAUUUUAAGUUUUAAAGUUAAAUAUUUUUUUAAUUACUCUGAACCUUUUAAUUACUCUGAAAUUAAUUAUAUUAUUGAUAUUAUUAUUAUUAAUAAUAAUGAGUUUACAGUGUAUGGUGGUUUUGAUGUUGUAAACACUACUGUUGUUGUUGUACAUGUGUGCACACACUGCCAGAGCUGUGGGAGAUCACUACCAUGCUACUUUGUGGGGGUGGGUA
Cyprinus carpio carpio is the source of this 3212-nucleotide long non-coding RNA. The record is from Ensembl. Lineage: Eukaryota; Metazoa; Chordata; Actinopteri; Cypriniformes; Cyprinidae.